GGGAAAGGCUGUCGCCGGUGAAGUUUACUUCACGGGAGGAAAGUCCGGACUCCACAUAGCGAUGUAGCGGGUAACGCCCGUCCACCGUGAGGUGAGGACAAGUGCAACAGAAAGGAUGUACAGGGGUUUGAGAAUGUAAGGGGUAGCUUUGGCCGACCUUGCUUCGAAUCAUUCAUUUGAUACCUGCUGUAGUGAAAACAGGUAAACUCUACGUGGUGCAAGUCUAAAUAGGUCUGUGUUAAGGGUAGCUAGCUCGUGCAGACGGGUAAGACGCUCGAGCCAUGGAGCAAUCCAUGGCCUAGACGAAUGACAGUUCUCGACAAGAUCCGGCUUAAUUCCCAUCUCG
RNAcentral lists this RNase P RNA (346 nucleotides) under Halobacteriovorax marinus. Its description in RNAcentral is "Bacterial RNase P class A". It matches the Rfam family "Bacterial RNase P class A". Rfam says of the family: Ribonuclease P (RNase P) is a ubiquitous endoribonuclease, found in archaea, bacteria and eukarya as well as chloroplasts and mitochondria. Its best characterised activity is the generation of mature 5'-ends of tRNAs by cleaving the 5'-leader elements of precursor-tRNAs. Lineage: Bacteria; Pseudomonadati; Bdellovibrionota; Bacteriovoracia; Bacteriovoracales; Halobacteriovoraceae. The record is from RNAcentral.